GAUGAACGCUGGCGGCGUGCCUAAUACAUGCAAGUCGAGCGAACAGACGAGGAGCUUGCUCCUCUGACGUUAACGGCGGAAGGGUGAGUAACACGUGGAUAACCUACCUAUAAGACUGGGAUAACUUCGGGAAACCGUAGCUAAUACCGGAUAAUAUAUUUAACCGCAUGGUUCAAUAGUGAAAGACGGUUUUGCUGUCACUUAUAGAUGGGUCCGCGGCGCAUUAGCUAGUUGGUAAGGUAACGGCUUACCAAGGCAACGAUGCGUAGCCGACCUGAGAGGGUGAUCGGCCACACUGGAACUGAGACACGGUACAGACUCCUACGGGAGGCAGCAGUAGGGAAUCUUCCGCCAUGGGCGAAAGAUUGACGGAGCAACGCCGCGUGAGUGAUGAAGGUCUUCGGAUCGUAAGACUCUGUUAUUAGGGAAGAACAAAUGUGUAAGUAACUAUGAACGUCUUGACGGUACCUAAUCAGAAAGCCACGGCUAACUACGUG
This 497-nucleotide ribosomal RNA is filed under the name uncultured bacterium. Its description in RNAcentral is "partial 16S ribosomal RNA". It matches the Rfam family "Bacterial small subunit ribosomal RNA", at positions 28 to 507 of the family's 1533-position model. The record is from RNAcentral.